AAUAUUGCGCAAUGGAGGGAACUCUGACGCAGCGACGCCGCGUGAGCGAUGAAGGUUUUCGGAUCGUAAAGCUCUGUCCUUGGGGAAGAAGGCGGCCUUCUUUGGCCACUUGAUGGUACCCCAGGAGGAAGCCCCGGCUCACUACGUGCCAGCAGCCGCGGUAAUACGUAGGGGGCAAGCGUUGUCCUGAAUUAUUGGGCGUAACGGGUGCGUAGGCGGCCUUUUAAGUCAGAUGUGAAAGACCGCGGCUUAACCGUGGGGUUGCAUUUGAAACUGGAGGGCUUGAGUAUCGGAGAGGGAAGUGGAAUUCCCAGUGUAGCGGUAGAAUGCGUAGAUAUUGGGGGGAACACCAGUGGCGAAGGCGACUACCUGGACGAAAACUGACGCUAGGGCACGAAAGCUAGGGGAGCAAACA
Molecule: ribosomal RNA, 415 nt
Filed under: uncultured bacterium
Lineage: Bacteria
Description: partial 16S ribosomal RNA
Rfam family: Bacterial small subunit ribosomal RNA
Source: RNAcentral